CUUAAGGUUGCUGCAUCUUGAAAGUCAGAAGGAAGAUGGAGACUGAAUCAGCUAGUGGUGACAGUGAAUUCUUUUAGCCUGGAAACCAGCUCCUGUUUCACAUUCCUGUACAUGUCAGAAGUGCAGGGCAGGAGGGGGAAGAUUCCACGCUUUUGUUGCUGAAAACAACAUCGUAUGACAUGGAAUAACCUUUUGAUCAGUUUGGAUCAGCAAUCCUGGAUAAGUCUCCUGCCAAGGUCUUGCUCACAACCAGCCCACGUGACUUUGGAGCCGGAGUGAGGAGUGGAAAGCCUUCUCCUAGUGGUUGUCACCACACUGGAAGUGAACCUUGCCAACAGUCAUCUCUCAAGGUGAAAGGAUGAGCAUGAGUAGUUCUCAGUGAAUUGCUUUGGGUAGCUCUUGAGCAGUAAGUGAUAUAAAAACCCUACCAAAGUUCUGAAGCACCAGUAGAAUUGGACCCAGGAGCUCAAAAGAGUUGAGACAGGCUCAGACCCUUCAUAUCUUUUAUCCCCUGUGUUGAAUCAGUCACAGGACUGUGAAAAACUCUUCACCCAACUGGUUCCUGGGAGAUUAAUCAGAGUUGUGUCAUUGGGAUGAUCCUUUUCAUCCUUCAUUUGAAAUUGCCUGGAAAGGAGUGAAAAAAGUAUCACGAAGGGAGCUUUCUAAAUUUCCAGGGAUAAGUUAAUUGAUGGUAAUUUAAAAAGACUUGCCAAGCGGACAGUUGAAGCAGCAAGCCCAUCAGCAGAGGAAGGUCUUAGCAUGCAUCAUCAUCUACCGUCAUCCUUCUACUUAUCAGUUCUCCAGGGAGCCAGAACAGCUGGACAACAACAUGUGUACUGCCCUCCAGGGCUGUCCUAGAAGAUGAUGUCUUCUUAAGCUUUACAAAUAAACAAUCGAGGAGUGCAUUAUCAAGUAUAUGAAGAUAAAAAUUCUAAUCGGAAAGGACUGAUCGAAUUUCUUUGGCACUCAGUAGCAAAAUUCCCACUGACUGCCCAAUGGAAAUGAGGAUGGUGGGUUGAGGAAGAAACUUCAGAGCAGCUUUUUAUCUACAAAAGCCUAAAGUUCAUUUGUCAUACCCUGAUUAUCUACAUUAAAAAAAAAAAAAA
Long non-coding RNA from Lepidothrix coronata (blue-crowned manakin), 1106 nucleotides. RefSeq lists it as uncharacterized. The record is from RefSeq and is a predicted model, not a curated record. NCBI's taxonomy places the organism in Eukaryota, Metazoa, Chordata, Aves, Passeriformes, Pipridae. The transcript is spliced from 10 exons.